This 486-nucleotide ribosomal RNA is filed under the name uncultured bacterium. RNAcentral's name for it is "bacterial SSU rRNA". It matches the Rfam family "Bacterial small subunit ribosomal RNA", at positions 46 to 525 of the family's 1533-position model. The record is from RNAcentral.
GGAUUAGGCAUGCAAGUCGAACGGUAGGAACCUUUCGGGGUUCUGAGAGUGGCGAACGGGUGAGUAACACGUAGGUGAUCUACCCUCAAAUCGGGGACAACCCAGGGAAACUUGGGCUAAUACCGGAUGAGUGCAUCAGAGAUGGUGUAUAAAAGGUGGCGUACGUGCCGUUUGGGGAUGAGCCUGCGCCCUAUUAGUUAGUUGGUGAGGUAAUGGCUCACCAAGGCGAUGAUAGGUAGGCGGCCUUAACGGGUGGUCGCCCACACUGGGAUUGAGAUACGGCCCAGACUCCUACGGGAGGCAGCAGUCGAGAAUAGUCUACAAUGGACGAAAGUCUGAUAGUGCGACGCCGCGUGAACGAGGAAGCCCUUCGGGUGUAAAGUUCUUUUAUAUGUGAGCAGUGGGUUCUACGUUAACAGCGUGGGAUCAGGGAUAUUAGCAUAUGAAUAAGCAACGGCUAACUCCGUGCCAGCAGCCGCGGUAAUA